RNAcentral lists this ribosomal RNA (442 nucleotides) under uncultured bacterium. RNAcentral describes it as "partial 16S ribosomal RNA". It matches the Rfam family "Bacterial small subunit ribosomal RNA", at positions 338 to 795 of the family's 1533-position model. The record is from RNAcentral.
CCUACGGGAGGCAGCAGUAGGGAAUCUUUCACAAUGGGCGAAAGCCUGAUGGAGCAACGCCGCGUGCAGGAUGAAGGCCUUCGGGUUGUAAACUGCUUUUAUAAGCGAGAAAUAUGAUGGUAACUUAUGAAUAAGGAUCGGCUAACUACGUGCCAGCAGCCGCGGUCAUACGUAGGAUCCGAGCAUUAUCCGGAGUGACUGGGUGUAAAGAGUUGCGUAGGUGGCAUAAUAAGUAGCUAGUGAAAUCUGGUGGCUCAACCAUUCAGACUAUUAGGUAAACUGUUAAGCUCGAGAACGUUAGGGGUAACUGGAAUUUCUAGUGUAGGAGUGAAAUCCGUAGAUAUUAGAAGGAACACCAAUAGCGUAGGCAGGUUACUGGGACGGUUCUGACACUAAGGCACGAAAGCGUAGGGAGCAAACGGGAUUAGAUACCCCAGUAGUC